RNAcentral lists this long non-coding RNA (468 nucleotides) under Rattus norvegicus (Norway rat). Its description in RNAcentral is "long non-coding RNA NONRATT008974". Lineage: Eukaryota; Metazoa; Chordata; Mammalia; Rodentia; Muridae. The record is from RNAcentral.
AGUGGAUCCUCACCGCCAUAAGUCCAAAAGUUCUGAAGAAAGGAGGUUGAGGAUCUCUGACCAGGACAGCUCCCUGAAGAUCAGCCAGCUGAAGAUGGAGGACACAGGCCCCUACCAUGCCUAUGUGUGCUCAGAGACCUCCAGAGGCCCCAGUGUGAGACACUUCACCCUGCUCGUCUACCGUGAGUACCCCUCGCCAGCCUCCUCAGUUUCCCCUCCUGCCAAAAUGCACUCGUAAGAGCUAGUCAAUUCACGCAAGUGUACCUAGGAAGGAAACACCAGAACCCUCAGGUGAGCAGACCCUACCUGCCAAGGUUCCUUGAUCUAGGCCCUCAGACACCUAACUUUCAUCUGUCUGUCUGUCUGUCUGUGCACUCACGUUCCAACAUCGUUUAGAACGAAGACGGGGGAAACUCGCAAGGAAACAGAGUAGGCUGGAGGAAGCUCUUGGUCUCUCAGAACACUGUG